AUGGGUCUGCUCUCCGAAGGAAGCCCCCUGAGCUGGGAAGAGACGAAGAAAUUGUCCGAUCACGUGCGCAAGCAUGGAGUUAUUCAAUUUAUUAACCUGUACAAGCGGCUCCGAGAUAGACAAGGAGACGUUCUUAAGUGGGGCGACGAGGUAGAAUAUAUACUCGUAAAAUUUGAUGACAAUGCAAAAACUGCAAAGCUCAGUUUAAGAGCUAUGGAAAUAUUAAGAAUCUUAAAUGAGAGAGAAAAUGAGGAUCCAGAUAAUGUAAAAUCUCUUUGGAGACCAGAAUAUGGCGCUUAUAUGUUGGAAGGAACUCCAGGAAAACCAUAUGGAGGAUUAUUAGCUCAUUUUAACGUUGUUGAAGCUAAUAUGCGUUAUCGGAGACAAGAGGCAACAAAGUUACUCCAACCUAAUGAGGUCUUAAUGUCAUUAACUGUUUUUCCAAGAGUAGGAGCUUCAGAUUUUACCGAUCCUUCUUCUUAUCCAACACCUAAUGCUGGCGCUUCUAAGAGCUUAUUUUUUCCUGAUGAAGCUAUAUAUCCCGGUCAUCCACGUUUCAAGACACUGACCAGGAAUAUUAGAGAACGACGUCAAGAAAAAGUUGCUAUAAACAUUCCUAUUUUCAGAGAUGAAAAUGUGCCAUUAUUAUUCAAAGAAGACUUUAUCAGCAAGGGAGAUGAUGGAUCUUCUUCAAAAGCUGCUAAAGAUAAUUACAUUUACAUGGACGCAAUGGGUUUUGGAAUGGGAUGUUGUUGUUUGCAACUUACGUUUCAAGCAUGUAAUAUAGAAGAAGCGAGAACAUUGUACGAUCAAUUGACACCUUUAUGUCCAAUCAUGUUGGCUUUAACCGCUGCAAGUCCGUUUUAUCGAGGCUAUAUAAGCGAUGUUGAUUGUCGAUGGAAUGUCAUAUCCUCGUCAGUGGACUGUAGGACAAAGGAAGAACGUGGAUUGAAACCUCUUAAAGAGAACAAAUUUAGAAUUAGUAAGUCCAGGUACGAUUCUAUUGAUUCGUACCUUAGCGAGCAAGGUGAAAAGUAUAAUGAUGUUCCUUUGACGUACGACGAUGAGAUAUAUAAACAACUUGUGGAUAAUGGAAUUGAUCACUUACUUGCGCAACACAUAGCUCAUCUGUUCAUCAGAGAUAGUGUUUCCUUAUUUUCCGAGAAAGUUCAUCAAAAUGAUUUGGAGGAUACUGAUCACUUCGAGAAUAUACAGUCUACAAACUGGCAAACUAUGCGCUUUAAACCGCCACCUCCAAACUCAUCUAUUGGUUGGCGUGUAGAAUUCCGUCCAUGUGAAGUUCAAAUUACGGACUUCGAAAAUGCCGCGAUAGUUUGUUUCACAGUACUGUUGACGAGAGUCAUUCUGAGUUACAAGUUAAAUCUUUUAAUCCCGAUCAGCAAAGUCGAUCAGAAUAUGAUCAGGGCACAGAACAGAGAUGCAGUGAAAUUAGAGAAAUUUUGGUUUCGUCAUAAUAUUACUUCCGAUAAAAAGUCCGACAACACUUUGACGGAGUAUACUGAGUUUACAAUCAAUGAAAUUAUUAACGGAAAGAAUGGUGUUUUUCCUGGUCUUGUGCCACUUGUGAAUUCGUAUCUAGCUAAUAUGAAUGUAGACGCUGAUACACACUGCACUAUUCAAAGAUACCUAAAAUUAAUACAGAAACGAGCUUGUGGUGAACUGUUAACAACUGCCGCUUGGCUAAGAAAAGAAGUCACUUCACAUCCUGAAUAUAAGCAUGAUGCCGUAAUAACACAGCGCAUCAAUUACGAUUUACUAAAAAAAAUUCAUAACAUCGUUUCUAAUGAUGUAUCGUGUCCGGAAUUACUUGGACAAUGUGUAUUGUCUAAAACUACUGAUACUAUACCUGCUGCUGUUGCUAAAGCGGAAAAGUGUUCAACAAUAAAUUGUUAAUAACAGUGAUGUCAGAAUUUCAGGCAAACUAGUCAUCGAGCCAUUUUCGUACAUUUUUGUAAGAUGAAGCGCUGCUCAGCAAAUGCGUGUCCCAUCGAUGCAAAUAAGUAAUAAUCGGAUGCAGCCAAGUCUGAGUAAGAAAGAGAACACAGCGCUGUAUACGCCGCAGUAAAACGGCAAGGCGGAGAGGGAGAACUGAACGAUUGUCGAAAGCGCUCGAACAAUGAUCCACAAGAGUCUUCCAUUAUCUCUAUGGACCGAGGCGAUUGACACCGCCGUGUUCGUGUUAAGUUGGACCGUGUCGUCGAGCGGAUCUUCCAUGCUGUACGAGAAGUGGGUAAGGAAGAAGCCGACAAUAAAUCAUCCAAGGAUCUUUGGCUCAGUGGCGUAUGUAAACACGCCGAAGCAAUUCACGAAGAAGUUCGACUUGCAAGGUCGAAAAAUGAUUCUAGUCGGAUACGGGUGAUUCCGUAAAUUAUCGCGUUUAUGAUCCGGAGACGAAGCAAGUCAGCGUCACGCGAGACGUGAAAUUUCACGAGCAGAUUGGCAAGGUGGAAAUCGGUGAGGAUGAAGACGGAAUCGAGACGAUAACGCUUCAAAAGGUGAAAGACGAGACUUAAGAUCGAGAAAACGAAGCAGUUCCGAAAGAGUGCGAAGCUCAGCAACAUGAAGAACCACGAGUAAUCGGAAAUCAAGCUCAAGGAAGUCGAGAAGCUUGGGCAAAAGAAGAGUGACCGGCAGAAAAAGAAGAGCGACCUGUAGAAGACGAAGGGCGAGUUUUGCGAAGACGAGAAACAAUUCAUAGGUCCAGAUACGAAUACGAGGUCGAUGUCGCCGAGUAUGUGUCGCCAAAUUCGUGUGAGGAAGCUACUCGAGGCGUUAAUGCCGCGCAGUAGGCACGCGCUAUCGACGAAGAGCUUCAGGCACAUGACACAAAUAAAACGUGGACAAUCGUGCUGAAACACCAGGAACAAAGACGAUCGAUUCCAAGUGGGUGUUUUGAGUCAAGGAGGAUCUUGUGAAAGGAAUUCAGCGAUUCAAGGCAAGGCUGUGUGCACGAGGAUUCCUGCAGCAACGCGGAAUCGACUAUACAAAGACAUUUGCACCGGUCGUGCGAUACGACUCGCUCCGUGUAUUUCUGGCAGCCGUCACCGAGAAGGAUCUCGAACUACUGUAAUUUGAUGUCCAAACAGCGUCCCUCUACGGCAAAUUGGAGGAGGAUAUUUUCAUGAAAAUUCCGAAGGGUCUGGCCGUCGAGGGAAGUGAAGGGACCGAAAUGGUGUGCAAAUUGAAUAAGUUUCUGUAUGGGCUUAAGCAAGCAUCUCGGUGUUGGAAUAAGAAAUUCCUUGAAAUUUUAAGCCAAUUCGAUCUAAAGUGCAGUCAAGCCGAUCAGUGUAUUUUUGUUGGACAAGUAAAUGGCGAAACCGUUUAUUUAGCUCUUUUUGUAGACGACGAUCUUGUUGCGGCGGAAACGGAAUUUACAUUAAAUUAUAUUACGAAUAAUUUGCACGAAGCAUUUAAAAUUAAAAUCGGAGACUCGAGCUGUUUUGUUGGGAUGCAAAUUGAGAGAAAUUGAAAAAACAAAUCACUCGUGAUUUAUCAAACUGCGUACGUUGAGAAAAUUCUAGAGAAAUUCGGAAUGCGAGAAGCAAAACCGGCUAGUGUACCAAUCGAUCCGCACGUAACCUUGUAUCCAGUUAAAGAGAAUAACAAGCCAUUGAGUAUCGUGCCGUAUCGCGAGGCAAUCGGAUUCUUAGUCUUUCUGGCGGCGGUGUCUCGUCCAGACAUAGCGUUUGCCGUGAAUUCCGUGAGUAAAUUUCUAAACGAACACAGUGUCGAGCACUGGCGAGCGGUCAAGCGAAUUUUUGCUUAUCUAAAAGGAACAAAAGAUUACGGAUUAGAAUACAAAAGCGGUGGUAGCAGAACAGAGCUCGUAGGCUUUUCUGACGCGGGUUAUGCGAACGACGUCGAGACUCGCAGGUCGACGACGGGAUAUAUAUUCUGUAUGGUAAACGGGCCAGUGUCGUGGUCUUCUCAAAGACAAAAGCUAGUUGUGUUAGCACAAUCGAGUCAGAAUAUGUAGCUGCUGCGACAGCGACCAAAGAGGCCAUAUGGCUGCGUAAGCUAAUCAGCGACUUUUAGGAUAUUCAUGUGAACCCGAAUUAACAUUGUACGUCGAUAAUCAGAGCGCGAUACGCUUGGUGAACAACUCUGUUUUUCACAAGCGUACAAAACAUAUCGACAUACGUUACCACUAUAUAUGCGAGAAAUUCGAGAGCAAUGAGAUAAAGGUAAUGUAUGUAUCAUCGGAGAUGCAGCGAGCCGACUUCCUCACUAAAGCGCUGCCGAGAGAUCGUUUCCGGAAGUUAUGCGAGAUAAUAAAUAUAGCUUCGAUUCACAACGUAAACGCUCAAACGACGGUAGUGUUGAGGCAGUUAGUUUAUCGCGUUGAAGUUGACGGCGCGAAAGAGCUGUGCGAGGAUGGUGGCGGCGGCGUUCCGUCCAGCAGCGCGUGACGUGGGAUAUGUAAGAAUCAGCGAUCAGGCGCCUUCGGCUAAAAUCGGGUUACUGACCAAGGAGCAGAGAGCACAUUGGUUCAUCUGCCCUCUCCGGCCCAAUCUUGUCUUGUCUCGCCGUCGAACUAUGUAACGCGCACACGUGUGAAGCCUUGUGAUAAUAAAACUAACGAGUAUCAUUUUUGUAAAA
This 4620-nucleotide unclassified non-coding RNA is filed under the name Monomorium pharaonis (pharaoh ant). RNAcentral describes it as "glutamate--cysteine ligase, transcript variant X2". The record is from RNAcentral. Lineage: Eukaryota; Metazoa; Arthropoda; Insecta; Hymenoptera; Formicidae.